GACGAACGCUGGCGGCGUGCCUAAUACAUGCAAGUUGAGCGAUGAAGCUUGGUGCUUGCACCCAUUUGAAGAGCAGCGAACGGGUGAGUAACGCGUGGGGAAUCUGCCUUUGAGCGGGGGACAACAUUUGGAAACGAAUGCUAAUACCGCAUAAUAACUUUAAACAUAAGUUUUAAGUUUGAAAGAUGCAAUUGCAUCACUCAAAGAUGAUCCCGCGUUGUAUUAGCUAGUUGGUGAGGUAAAGGCUCACCAAGGCGAUGAUACAUAGCCGACCUGAGAGGGUGAUCGGCCACAUUGGGACUGAGACACGGCCCAAACUCCUACGGGAGGCAGCAGUAGGGAAUCUUCGGCAAUGGACGAAAGUCUGACCGAGCAACGCCGCGGGAGUGAAGAAGGGUUUCGGAUCGUAAAACUCUGUUGGUAGAGAAGAACGUUGGUGAGAGUGGAAAGCUCAUCAAGUGACGGUAACUACCCAGAAAGGGACGGCUAACUACGUG
This 497-nucleotide ribosomal RNA is filed under the name uncultured bacterium. RNAcentral describes it as "partial 16S ribosomal RNA". It matches the Rfam family "Bacterial small subunit ribosomal RNA", at positions 28 to 507 of the family's 1533-position model. The record is from RNAcentral.